RNAcentral lists this ribosomal RNA (570 nucleotides) under Microbacterium sp. RNAcentral describes it as "bacterial SSU rRNA". It matches the Rfam family "Bacterial small subunit ribosomal RNA", at positions 56 to 638 of the family's 1533-position model. Lineage: Bacteria; Bacillati; Actinomycetota; Actinomycetes; Micrococcales; Microbacteriaceae. The record is from RNAcentral.
UGCAAGUCGAACGGUGAAGCAGAGCUUGCUCUGUGGAUCAGUGGCGAACGGGUGAGUAACACGUGAGCAACCUGCCCUUGACUCUGGGAUAAGCGCUGGAAACGGCGUCUAAUACCGGAUAUGAGCUGCGAUCGCAUGGUCAGCAGUUGGAAAGAUUUUUCGGUCUGGGAUGGGCUCACGGCCUAUCAGCUUGUUGGUGAGGUAAUGGCUCACCAAGGCGUCGACGGGUAGCCGGCCUGAGAGGGUGACCGGCCACACUGGGACUGAGACACGGCCCAGACUCCUACGGGAGGCAGCAGUGGGGAAUAUUGCACAAUGGGCGAAAGCCUGAUGCAGCAACGCCGCGUGAGGGAUGACGGCCUUCGGGUUGUAAACCUCUUUUAGCAGGGAAGAAGCGAAAGUGACGGUACCUGCAGAAAAAGCGCCGGCUAACUACGUGCCAGCAGCCGCGGUAAUACGUAGGGCGCAAGCGUUAUCCGGAAUUAUUGGGCGUAAAGAGCUCGUAGGCGGUUUGUCGCGUCUGCUGUGAAAUCCCGAGGCUCAACCUCGGGUCUGCAGUGGGUACGGGCA